AUUGAACGCUAGCGGGAUGCUUUACACAUGCAAGUCGAACGGCAGCGCGGACUUCGGUCUGGCGGCGAGUGGCGAACGGGUGAGUAUGUAUCGGAACGUGCCCAGUAGCGGGGGAUAACUACGCGAAAGCGUAGCUAAUACCGCAUACGCCCUACGGGGGAAAGCAGGGGAUCGUAAGACCUUGCACUAUUGGAGUGGCCGAUAUCGGAUUAGCUAGUUGGUGAGGUAACGGCUCACCAAGGCGACGAUCCGUAGCUGGUUUGAGAGGACGACCAGCCACACUGGGACUGAGACACGGCCCAGACUCCUACGGGAGGCAGCAGUGGGGAAUUUUGGACAAUGGGGGCAACCCUGAUCCAGCCAUCCCGCGUGUGCGAUGAAGGCCUUCGGGUUGUAAAGCACUUUUGGCAGGAAAGAAACGUCGCGGGCUAAUACCCCGUGGAACUGACGGUACCUGCAGAAUAAGCACCGGCUAACUACGUG
This 483-nucleotide ribosomal RNA is filed under the name uncultured bacterium. RNAcentral describes it as "partial 16S ribosomal RNA". It matches the Rfam family "Bacterial small subunit ribosomal RNA", at positions 30 to 507 of the family's 1533-position model. The record is from RNAcentral.